Molecule: non-coding RNA, 21 nt
Filed under: Caenorhabditis elegans
Lineage: Eukaryota; Metazoa; Nematoda; Chromadorea; Rhabditida; Rhabditidae
Source: RNAcentral
UGCAUCUUGCAAAUCGACACC